UACGUAGGGACCGAGCGUUGUCCGGAAUCAUUGGGCGUAAAGAGCGUGUAGGCGGCUAUUUAAGUCCUGCGUGAAAUCCUGCGGCUCAACCGCAGACGGUCGUGGGAAACUGGAUGGCUAGAGUGCGGGAGAGGAGAGUGGAAUUCCUGGUGUAGCGGUGAAAUGCGCAGAUAUCAGGAAGAACACCCGUGGCUAAGGCGGCUCUCUAGUACGGUACUGACGCUGAGACGCGAAAGCGUGGGGAGCGAACAGG
RNAcentral lists this ribosomal RNA (253 nucleotides) under uncultured bacterium. Its description in RNAcentral is "partial 16S ribosomal RNA". It matches the Rfam family "Bacterial small subunit ribosomal RNA", at positions 524 to 776 of the family's 1533-position model. The record is from RNAcentral.